Molecule: transfer RNA, 77 nt
Filed under: Oceanospirillum linum
Lineage: Bacteria; Pseudomonadati; Pseudomonadota; Gammaproteobacteria; Oceanospirillales; Oceanospirillaceae
Also listed under: 53 other names
Description: tRNA-Asp
Rfam family: tRNA
About the family: Transfer RNA (tRNA) molecules are approximately 80 nucleotides in length. Their secondary structure includes four short double-helical elements and three loops (D, anti-codon, and T loops).
Source: RNAcentral
GGACCGGUAGUUCAGUUGGUUAGAAUACCGGCCUGUCACGCCGGGGGUCGCGGGUUCGAGUCCCGUCCGGUCCGCCA